This 9056-nucleotide long non-coding RNA is filed under the name Cricetulus griseus (Chinese hamster). RNAcentral's name for it is "lncRNA (ENSCGRG00015037892.1)". The record is from RNAcentral. Lineage: Eukaryota; Metazoa; Chordata; Mammalia; Rodentia; Cricetidae.
CUCUGGGCGGGGGCCGGCCGGGCGCCGCCUCCUCCUUCGCCGCCGCCUCCUCGCGGUGCAGCGUGAGUAGGGAGCCCCGGCUGGUGGACGCCGAGUCUCUGGGCUCCGCGGCGGCCGCCUCGUUCCCGAGGUGCAGGCGCACCUCCGCGUGGCGCCCCGAGCCCGGCGAGCCGGCUUGCGGGCACGUCCCGAGACCCCACGCCGCCAUCCCCGGUCCCCCUCCCUGCCGACCCUCCUGCCUAUCCUUCCUUGAUUCUUCCCUCGGAAAAAUGGUUCCCGCUGCGGGCGAGGCUUGGGGGAAAGAGAUGCUGUAGUGACAGCUGAGCUGAUGAGAUAUCCCUGCUUUCUUUGCAGCCUUCUCAAGUCCAGAUUUUAAGGUACACUAUCUCUUUAGGCAGAGGAUAAUUCUUUAUCCAUAGAACACAAGAGAAAAGGAUGCAGCUUUUAAAUAAUGGGUAAAUUAACAUAGAUAUUACCUAAUACAGAUUUUAAUUACAGACCACAAGCUAUUAUUGCUGUUUUAUCUUCAUUUAAAUUUUAAUUCAACAUUUGUGAGUUCUUCUGACUACUGUAAAACGUUAGAUGUUGAGCUGUAGAUAAGUGUUAAGCUAUAAUUAAACAAAAAAUCCAUUUGAGAUGUUAGAUUGUUUAUGCCUUCACUGCUACAAGGCCUCCUUAAAGCCAUAGUAUAUGGAUGGCCCUAGUAACCUGGGACACCUAAAACCACUAAGUUGAUGCAUGAAGAAUAAUUAAUACAUUGUUAAGUAUAUUUUGAUAAAAUUCUUUACUUGGGGAUUCAGUUGACUAAUUUCCUCGGGCAAACUUGUUAACUUCAUUUUGAAUGAAACAGUCUCUUAUGGGAAAAGAGUACUACAAGGAUUUAUCAUGCAACAAAACUAUUAUAAUAUUGAACAUCAAAAACAUUUGACAAUUUCCUAUAUUUUAUACAUAUAAGGUUUAAACUGGCAUUUUCAUCAUGGAAUUUGUAAUUAAUAUGAAAAAACAGGAAGAAUAAGGAUCAGGAAGCAGAGAUUUAAGUUUCUGCAUGUCGUGUAAAAAUACUUGAUUAGUUUGAAGGAAAAAUGAUUUUCUGGUAAAUGUCUUAUAGAAAGGUGCUAUUAAUAGCUUGUUGGGAUUUACAGACUCUGAGGUAACAUUACAAGGAAAAUGAUAUACAAGGAGCAUUUUUUAAAAGAAGUGACAAUUUCUUGGCUUUUAGAAAUGGUACUUAUACUCACACACCAAAUACACUGUUUAUUAUUAAAGUUUUUGUUAUAGAAAUUGCCAAUGCCUGGGCGGUGGUCCCAGCACUCUAGAGGCAGAGGCAGUCGGAUCUCUGUGAGUUCAAGACCAGCCUGGUCUAUAAGAGGUAGUUCCCGAACAGCCUUCAAAGCCACAGAGAAACCCUGUCUCGAAAAACAAAACAAAAAAACAAUAAAACAAAAGAAAAAUGCCAAUGAAAACAGACUAACAAAAUUAAAUGACCAUUUUGACAACUCAUAGUCUAUUCACAGUCAGUAUUACCAUACUAGAUAUAAGUCUUAUAAAUGAAAAAACAUUAGGUAAAUAGAAGGAAUGGCUUGGGGGGGGGGUUAUUAUGUAGCCCUGGUUGGACUGGAACUCACUAUGUAGACCAGGCUAGCUCUGAACUCAUAGAGAUCCACCUGCUUCUGCGUUGUGAGUGUUAAAUUGAAUUCUUAUGUUUAAUAUUUGUAGUGUAGAAGAUACUCAGUAAUAAGCAAUAUCCAAUAGUAGCUGAAAAAUUGACUCUGUAGUCUUCAUUGUGGAUUUUUUUUUAACUUUUCUGUGGAUAGUCUGUUGUAUAACAGAUAUUAAUAGUAGCUUUUCAGGUUUCACUCUUGUUGAUGCUUUAUACUAGAAAUGCUCAUGGUUAUUUAGUGUGGUGUUUAACAUGCUGUGCUGCUUGAUUCUCAUAACCAAUCAUUUUUCAAAAUGAGUUACAUAGACAGUUGUACCUUCUCCUCCUGGUAGUCAAGGUGAUUUAUCUGGGUUCAGUGUCAAAUAGCUAACAGAUAAAUCAGACAGACCUGGACUCUAGAUUUUAUCCAGAGGUGCCCUCCUAGUUCUGCUCAUUGCUCUUCUCACUAUAUGUGUUUGUAUAAGUUUAUGGAUAUUCAUAUUAUAUUCAUAUAUUAUGAAUAUAAUAUAUGAAAGGUCAGCUUCUGAUCAGCGUAAAUUUACUAAUAUAAUAAAAACAAAUUUACUUAGGCUUAACUUUAUAGUUUAAUUUUUGCUUAUCCUUGGAUUAAUAUAAACAAUUCAUACAUACCCUGAUUUGCUAAUAGUGAGUGAAUGAGUAUGAACAUCUGUAAAAUAUUAUAGUUAAAUUUAUAAUUUUUUUAAAAAAAAUCUCGCUUUUCAGUAAUCAUCGUUUGUUUUGCAAUAACUUAGUUAAAAAUAAAGUUAGUGUAAAAAAAGUUCCUUCAAAUCCUGUAAUGUUUUAUGCACUUGUUUUUCUGCCACAGGUAUGUUAUCUAAUUUUUUCUUUUUAGAAUAUUAAUUUGUUGAGCAGUGGAAUUUAGAAAUUUAAAUAGGUCUCCAGUCAGGAGAUUUUAGUUCAUGAAAUCCAAAACCUUGUUGCAAAUCUCACACAUACAGAAAGGUAGUUGUUUUUAACUGUUAAGUGUAAUUACCUGGGACAGUUACUCAGCGCUUAGGUCCCUUGGCAUUGCCCCUGCAAUUCUGAUUCAGCAGAUUUGGGGUGGGACCUACCAGUCUGCAUUUUGAAAAAGAGUGAUAGUGAAUUAAUAAGUUAGGUAAAAUUUUAACAUUAUUAAAAAUCCUUUUAUGAUUCUGGAGGAUAUCAUUGGUGUAUUUUGUCCAUAGUCAAAUUUGUGUUUGUAAAUAGUUUUGACUGUUGUAGAAAAGUUUGAUUUGUUGGCUUGGGUAGUUUUUGUGACAAUUGUAAAAACUGAUAGAUAGAAAAUCCUCUCUUAUCUGUGUGUGCAGAGUUGUCUUGUAGAAGCUCUAUCUGUGGUUACUUAUUAAGCACUCUAAACUCUCAGACAGUGUUCUUUCUUAUUUUCAUGUCUAAAUAUCUGCUGCUUGAGAGGAUUUGAACACGGGUUUCUUUCUCUAAAAGUAAUUCAUGUUGUAUCAUAGUUUUGCAUUUUUAGGCUUUAGUCUACCUCUGAUUUUAUUGUUAAUCGGGGAAAGUCCUUCUAACAAAUGGACUUAAAUGAGUAGAUAAAUAGUUACCCUUUUAAAUUUCAUUUAGCAAACAACUGCUUCAAAAAUAGCAUGUUAGUGCUGAUGUUCUUACAGAAUAUUGAUACUAGGUUGGGUAACUUACCAACUGUACACCAAAACAAAAGUUAGUAUUGUUUCACUUACACAUUAGUAAUUUGUGUAGCUAGGUAAGCUCCAUUUCAUCUUCGUGUUAAGGCUGCUUUAACUGUUGCAUACUAUAUAUGAGCUAACUGCCUUUAAUAACUUCAUGAUUAAAAUCAGUCUUCAAGUGUGAUUAUUUUGUUCUAUGUAUAUCAAUGUAAUAAAUAGCCCAUGCACUAAAAUGAAAGUAGUUUCAAAGCCCAUUUCAAGACUACAGAACUUGUUUUUAUUUUUAAGACUUAGCUUACUGGUUGAGCCUUAGGGAGCAGUUAGGAAUCAUGGGGUAUAAUUUACUAAUGACUAUGGAAAUCCAAAUUAGUAUUUUUGGCAGAGUGAGAAGACUUCUCCCUAUAGUCUCUUAAAGCUGUUGUCUGUUGAAUUUUCCAAAAACAAUGUUAACUAAAGAAUAUAUGAUUUUUUUGAAUUACUUUUUUGGUAAGAAAAUUAUUUGAUAUUUGUAAGUAUAGCAACUUCUAACAUUGUGGUUCCUGCCAGUCUGGGAUUCUGAUUUUGUAUUAAUGUUACUGUCACCUAGGCCUCUAGAGACAAGGAGCAUACUUUUGAAUGGACCACUGCUUGCUUACACUGUGAAAUCUGAGAUUAUACUCUUCACUGAAAACUGGUGUGACUACUGGACAAACCUGAUAAAUUUAAGAAUAAAAUGUAUGUUUUCUGAAAAGUCAAUCUUAGAAAGGAUUUGACCAUUUAACUUCAAAGGAGCUUUUGCAAUAAGUGUAUCGCUAGCAAUGUCGAUCUUUUCAGUUUAUUAACGCAUAACAUUCUCCUGCCCCAAGGACUAAUAGUCUUGUUUUCAAAGUUUUGCAGUUCUUUUGCUGUAUUCUACUUUUCAUAUUUGUUCUAUAACCUGUUGUCAUUUUUUAAAAGAAAAUAACUGAUAUUUCUUCGAUAAAACAUUUAGUAGUUCCUCUUUUUUUUAUGAUAUACAACUUAUUCUGGAGGCCUUGGAUUAAGUAAGUAACCUAGUGUUACUUAAAGUGUGUUUGAAAACUCUGAUUCUUAGAAAUAUUAAGAGUUUGAUGUGAGGAAAGGGGCAGAGCUGAAAUCUAAGAUGUACUGUUUAUUCAGUUUUUCCAUUUGGGAUUUCUUCACUUCUUUAAUGUGAGAAUAUGGAUAGAACCUAUCCAGAUGUGUUCAGUGUCUGCUUCUAUUUCAUAGACCACCUGAGUGGAGCACCUCUCUCAUCUGUCAGUCUUAAUAUGCUCCUAACCAGGGUCACUAAUUUGUAUGAUUGCAGGAGGUACUAUUCAUAAAUAUAACAUCAAACAGAUUCUGUUUUCUGGAGCUAAGCAGUGCUGUAUGCACAGCAAUGUUGACUAUCUUUGGAGACCGUUGAAUGGUCUGUUUCCCUAUUCCCUUUGUUGUGAUUUCAUACAUGGAUUUCUUCUGACCUGAGAAAACUCUGGGUCUUCUGGUCCAAGUAUGCCUAUUAUUCAAAGCUCAGCACCUGCCCACUCCUUGUUAUUCUUCAUUUAUUUGUCUAUCUGAAUUCCUCCUAAGUUUCCAUUCUUGGCUAUACAGUUACUGGUUUUGUUUUUAAGAUUUAUUUCUCUUUUUACUUACAUAUAUUUGUGUGUGCCUGUGUAAGUUUAUGUGCCCCAGGUGUGUGGAAGUGCCCAUGGAGGCCAGGGAACAGUUGGAUCCCAUUGAGCAGUUUGAGCCAUCUGAUAUGGGUGCUGAGAACAGAACCCAGGUCCUAUAGAAGAGUAGCAAGUGCUCCUAAAUACUGAGCCAUCUCUCCAGCCAAAGCUAUACAUUCACUUAUGUUAUAUAUUCCCUUUCUGUAAGAGUUUUCAUAUGGAGAAGUUGAGAAAUGUGUUCAUUGAAGAUGUGUAGACUUGUAGACAACAGAUGUUCAGUCAAUGUUUUUUGCAUAUUGAUUGUGUGUCUUUUGCUAAGGUAUAGCUUGCAGAAAAUUGAGAAUUUCUGAAGCCUAUUUUAUCUUUGACUUUUAAACCCCACUCCUUUUGCUUCAAGGGACAGUCGUUUUAUUACUGGAAGAAUGAUUGAUUCCUUUUCAUUGAAUAUUACUAGGACAAUAGAAUUUACUCUAUAUAGGGAGUAUUUUCCAUUUGUAAACAGUGUGGUAUAUUUGUUCUUAUUAGACUUUAUUCUGAUUCUAAAAAGUAAUUACUGUUAAGAUUUAUAUUUUUAAUUAAAACAUGUAUGAAACUCAAUUCUCAAAGAAUUAAUAAAAAUAAAAAAACAAGUUAAACUAAUUUCAUUUUGGGCAUGUGCCAUUUUUAUCUUUCAUUUUGGAUUAAUGUUGAGGUGUGCUUCCUGGGUCUAUAUAUAAUCCAUUGGAAAUAUGCAUGGUGUAAAAGGACAUACUUUAAAGCAUAUAUUAUAGCUUGUAAUUUAAAUGUUAUAUUCUUGCAGUUCCUGUGUAUGGAUAGGACUGCUUGUAGAGCUGCAAUGGGUUAUAGUUACAGGCUCUACUGUUUUGGAAAGGGGUUUUGAACUGAAAGUGAAUUGUUAGUUCAUGACUUAAUGUUCAAUCACUGUGGACAUCAGAAAGAAGUACAAGGAUUCAUUCUGUUAAAGUUGAAAAGUACUCCACCUGCCUUCAGGUCAGGAAAGACCACAUCUGUCAAUUCCACUGAAUGUUCCUUAUAUACACACAAUAUUAAUUUCAACGUUAAGUGUUUAUAUAAAUUUACCAUGUAAAUCAUCACUCUCAAGAUACUUGGGGGAGCCGCGCAUUGGUGGUGCCUGCGUUUAAUCCCAGACUUGGGAGACAGAAGCAAGCGGAGCUCUGAGUUCAAGGCUAGCCUGGUCUAUAGAGGGAGUUCCAGGACAGGCUACAAAACAAUACAGAUAAACCCUGUCUCGAAAAACCAAAGGGGGAGAAAAAAAGAUACUUGGGGGAAACCAUCCACUUUCAGUAACUAGCAUAUUGUGCUAUUAUUUGUCUAUUUUAAAUUUUAAACAUGCAAUUUUGAAAAGGUUUUAAGGAUUUAUAUUUUGUUUAUUAUUUUCUUUAAAAACUUAUUUUUGGUGUGUACCCCUAGACACUCCCUGUACGCUGCAUUAUAAGAUCUCUAUGCAGAUGCUUUGCAGCCUCUUUCCUAGCCAUCCACCAUGGUGGGUGGAUGAAAGACCUGAGCUAACAUGGGGUUAGCUCGUUAAACAACUACAAUAAAGCCUUGUGCAGGUUGCAUCAAAAAAUUAUUUUUGGACAUUAUCCUAUGUAGUUCCAAUUUAUUAUUAUUAUAUUUAUGCCACCCCCUUUGCCCUCUGUUACCCCUUCCAUUCCUUCCCAGCGAGUCUGCCAGUGAGAGAAAAUCUUCAGCACCCAUUAACACUCAGGAGCUUCUCAGGAAGGUAUGGUCCUCUUGGAUACCUUUUCUCUUAUGAUAGGAUGUGGAAGGGCCAAAUCCUGUGCUAUGUUUCAUGAUUGCAGUAGCAUGUUUGGAUGGUAAUGCUUUAUGGAAUUCCUUCCCGUCCUCCAGCUCAAAUUGUUUCUUCCUCUUCUGCAGUAUUCCUUGGAUGUGUGUGUGUGUGUGUGUGUGUGUGUGUAUGUAUGUAUGUAUGUAUGUAUGUAUGUAUGUAUGUAUGUAUGAGAGAGACAGAGACAGAGAGACACACCCUUUUUUUAGGGCUCAGGACACAAAAGUUACUUAUUCUCAGCAUUUGACCACGUAGAAGUCUGCAUGAACUAUCACCCUCUACAUCGAGGAGCAGGAUGAGUGCCACACUGGUUCAUGGUUAUAAAACUAAAAAUUUAGAAGGCAGUUUGACCACACGUUCAUUUAGGGACGCAGUGGUAGUGUGUCCCCUUCAUAGGACGAUGACCUCCUUGGGCUUUUCAACAGUUUUAUAGUACCAGGUAUUCCAUCAUGUAGAACAGGCCUCCGGUCCAAUUACAAAGCAGUGGGUUAUCCCCAAAUAGUUAGUUGUGCUAGUGUUGAACCAGUGGGCAUAUCUUGCUUGGCUGGUCAGUAUUGUAGCAUACAUGGUCUACAGCUAAAUGUGACCAUUGAUGUCUUUCCUGACCAGUAUAUAUAGAUAUGAUUUGAUAAGGUGUUAUAGAAAGUAUUGACACUUGAUCUCGCUAUAACUUUACAGUUUUAAUCAUAAUAUAACUGAAAGUGAUGCAUGGGAGUGGUUUUGUUAGUGGAAAAUAAAAGGGAUUUGAAGGCAGCAGUUAAUAGUAUCAGCAAAAGUAAACUGGAUAAAAGCAGUAAGUUUUGAUCUCUUUGUACCAGAAUACACACAGGUGCUAGUGGCAUAUACAGUAUCUGCCUGCUGAUGCCUAGAGUUGUGUGAAAUCACCCUUUGCUAUAGUUCUCUCCUUUUCUCGAUUCCUGCCCAAAGUCAACUGAGUCAUGCUGUGUAACUACUCCCUUUUGUGCCUUUAAAAUGUGCUCAUGAACUUCAGAUAAUAUGUGUAUGCUGAGGAACAAGAUCUCUCCGCAUCAGACUCCAGGUCAGCCGGUCCCCUUUACACAGCAGAUUUAGGGUAAUGGUUGGGUUGUGUUGCCUUUUGAGUUUGAACAACAUUCUUGUGUGUGUAGAACACUGGGACCCACCUGAUUUCUCUGUCUUGGUCCUCUUGCUCAAGCAUUUCAGUGUAUUGCUAAUGAUAUUCCUAUGUGUGGCCACCUGUAAAACAUUCACUUUGCUUUUUCCUCUGUGAUAUUUCAUUGACUCCAAGUUUAAGUUUUGUCUUGUCUUUGCCACUGCAAACCUUAGUGACUUUGAGUGAAUGAAACACUUGAGUUUCUUUGUCACCUCCCAGAAAAGUGUAAAAAGGCAAAUAUUUUUUAAAUAUUCUCUUUUAAGUUUAGCUUUCAAAAACCUUUAUUAAACUUAGACCCCUUGUUUUUUCCCUAACCUUUAAUUUUCAAAUUUUGUUAACUCUGCCUUCUAACUUCAUUAUUUGAUUUUUCAUUUGUGAAAAGCACUAUUUGGUUCCUGAAGAAAAAUAUGUUCAUUGAAAACCUAAGUUGUCUAACUUCAUUGGAAAUUGUGUGUAACUAGCAUUAAUUCAGCUCCCUGUUAAGCUUGCACUAAAAAAUGUGAAUAGUGAGUUCCUUAUAAACUCAGAGGAAAAAAAAAAGUUCAUACCAAAAUGUUGUAAAGAGUUGGGAUAGCCUUACAUCAGAACUCAAGAUUGUCACGGUCAACAACAUGAUGUUUACUUCACAGUGUUGUACCUUAAUAAAACAGCAAGAAAAAUUUUACAUUAUGAUUAAAAAGGAACACAAACAAGCUAAAUCAAAGGUAUUGAUAUCAGUUUAAGACAUUCUAACUAUGGAUUUCAUAGUUAGAUCGGACAAGUACCACCACCACCACCCCUUUUGAAUCGGAAUCUUCAAGACUUUCUUCCUGAGCCAGAGAACUGUCCUGUGCUAGACAGCAGGCACACCUAACAGCUGAAUGAGGUUCUCCCUAAGCUGAAUGCUAAACAGUGAUAGGAACACCUAAUGGCUACUCAGUUUACAUUUCAGAGUUCCCCAAAGGCUCCAGGUGUGGCACUGUGACCAUCUUCCUCAUCCAUCGUGAUUGUAGAACCCUCACACGGAGGCACACAGCUGAAAACCAAGAUACACUCUUUAGUGGAUGCAUGCAGAUCCUAGCCACCCCUCAUUCAGCUGCUAGGACACUUGCUGGCUAGCAUAGGAGAGCUCUCUGGCACAAGAGGAAACAUGGGAAGAUUGUGCUUUGCCUGUGGUCAAAAAAGC